Molecule: long non-coding RNA, 625 nt
Filed under: Nicotiana benthamiana
Lineage: Eukaryota; Viridiplantae; Streptophyta; Magnoliopsida; Solanales; Solanaceae
Description: long non-coding RNA (NBEN_LNC026127)
Source: RNAcentral
AUUUAAUCACUUUUUAUGUCAAGAUAAAUUUGAACGAAAAUAUUGUUCAAAAUCUAGAAAUAUUCCAGCAUAAUAUACUGGAGUUCGAAUUUUUUACAUGUAAACUUCCAGCAAAAUAUAGUGGAGUUUCAGUCAAGCAUAAUAUGCUGGAAUUCAGACACAGGUGCACCAAUCUCCAAUAUAUUAUGCUAGAACUUUCCGUAUUGCAACAAAUAGUGACUAAUUUCAAUAAUUUUACAAACGCUGACUAUUUUUCAAUUACAAAUCAAAAACUAACUAGCCCGUGUUAUUUUUACGGUAUCUAGUUGUACUUUAAUCACUAACUGAAAAAUCAUUAAUUGUUACCGUAUCUUUUGAUGCAACUAAAAAAAGAGAUAAUGACAGCUGUAGUCUUGGAUCAAUGAAAUACUGUCACACUUUAUUUACUCUCACUCCAUGCUGAAUCGUUUCACUUUCUUUAUACUUUAAUAGUUAAAUAAUUUACAAGGAAUUCAGGCAUCGUAUAGGCAGGGGCGAAGCUAUGCUCUUUUAAGUACUGUUAGAUAGCUCGAAUACUCGUGUAUAAUGUAUUCAAGAAAAAUUAUUGAUUACAACCAAAAUGACUUAAUGAUUACAUUGUUUUNNN